AACGAACGCUGGCGGCAUGCCUAACACAUGCAAGUCGAACGAGACCUUCGGGUCUAGUGGCGCACGGGUGCGUAACGCGUGGGAACCUGCCCUUAGGUUCGGAAUAACUCCCCGAAAGGUGUGCUAAUACCGGAUAAUCUCUUCGGACCAAAGAUUUAUCGCCUUUGGAUGGGCCCGCGUUGGAUUAGCUAGUUGGUAGGGUAAAAGCCUACCAAGGCGACGAUCCAUAGCUGGUCGGAGAGGAUGAUCAGCCACACUGGGACUGCGACACGGCCCAGACUCCUACGGGAGGCAGCAGUGGGGAAUAUUGGAGAAUGGGCGAAAGCCUGAUCCAGCAAUGCCGCGUGAGUGAGGAAGGCCUUAGGGUUGUAAAGCUCUUUUACCCGGGAUGAUAAUGACAGUACCGGGAGAAUAAGCUCCGGCUAACUCCGUG
RNAcentral lists this ribosomal RNA (433 nucleotides) under uncultured bacterium. RNAcentral's name for it is "partial 16S ribosomal RNA". It matches the Rfam family "Bacterial small subunit ribosomal RNA", at positions 29 to 507 of the family's 1533-position model. The record is from RNAcentral.